This 716-nucleotide ribosomal RNA is filed under the name uncultured bacterium. RNAcentral describes it as "bacterial SSU rRNA". It matches the Rfam family "Bacterial small subunit ribosomal RNA", at positions 40 to 770 of the family's 1533-position model. The record is from RNAcentral.
CGGCGUGCUUAAUACAUGCAAGUCGAACGGAGUUAAGGGUUUCGGCCUUUAACUUAGUGGCGAACGGGUGAGUAACGCGUGAAUAACCUGACUCAAAGAGGGGGAUAACAACGGGAAACUGUUGCUAAUACCGCAUGAGACCACAACACCGCAUGAUGAAGGGGUCAAAGAUUUAUCGCUUUGAGAGGGGUUCGCGUCCCAUUAGGUAGUUGGAGGGGUAACGGCCCACCAAGCCAACGAUGGGUAGCCGAGCUGAGAGGCUGAUCGGCCACACUGGAACUGAGACACGGUCCAGACUCCUACGGGAGGCAGCAGUAGGGAAUAUUGGGCAAUGGGCGCAAGCCUGACCCAGCAACGCCGCGUGAGGGAAGAAGGUUUUCGGAUUGUAAACCUCUGUCCUAUGUGACGAAGGAAGUGACGGUAGCAUAGGAGGAAGCCCCGGCUAACUACGUGCCAGCAGCCGCGGUAAUACGUAGGGGGCGAGCGUUGUCCGGAAUUACUGGGCGUAAAGGGUGCGUAGGCGGUUUGGUAAGUUGGAUGUGAAAUACCCGGGCUUAACUUGGGGGCUGCAUCCAAUACUGUCGGACUUGAGUGCAGGAGAGGAAAGCGGAAUUCCUAGUGUAGCGGUGAAAUGCGUAGAUAUUAGGAGGAACACCGGUGGCGAAGGCGGCUUUCUGGACUGUAACUGACGCUGAGGCACGAAAGCGUGGGGAGCC